CCCUUCGGGGGUACACGAGCGGGCGAACGGGUGAGUAACACGUGAGCAAUAUGCCCUUCACACGGGGAUAACCACCGGAAAACGGUGGCUAAUACCCGAUACGACCACUUCAGGCAUCUGAUGGUGGUGGAAAGUUCCGGCGGUGAAGGAUGAGCUCGCGGCCUAUCAGCUUGUUGGUGGGGUAAUGGCCUACCAAGGCAACGACGGGUAGCCGGCCUGAGAGGGUGACCGGCCACACUGGGACUGAGACACGGCCCAGACUCCUACGGGAGGCAGCAGUGGGGAAUAUUGGACAAUGGGCGAAAGCCUGAUCCAGCAACGCCGCGUGAGGGAUGACGGCCUUCGGGUUGUAAACCUCUUUCAGCAGGGACGAAGCGCAAGUGACGGUACCUGCAGAAGAAGCACCGGCCAACUACGUGCCAGCAGCCGCGGUAAUACGUAGGGUGCGAGCGUUGUCCGGAAUUAUUGGGCGUAAAGGGCUCGUAGGCGGUUUGUCGCGUCGGGAGUGAAAACUCAGGGCUUAACCCUGAGCCUGCUUCCGAUACGGGCAGACUAGAGGUAUGCAGGGGAGAACGGAAUUCCUGGUGUAGCGGUGAAAUGCGCAGAUAUCAGGAGGAACACCGGUGGCGAAGGCGGUUCUCUGGGCAUUACCUGACGCUGAGGAGCGAAAGUGUGGGGAGCGAACAGGAUUAGAUACCCCCGUAGUCC
RNAcentral lists this ribosomal RNA (708 nucleotides) under uncultured bacterium. RNAcentral's name for it is "bacterial SSU rRNA". It matches the Rfam family "Bacterial small subunit ribosomal RNA", at positions 76 to 796 of the family's 1533-position model. The record is from RNAcentral.